Long non-coding RNA from Argentina anserina (silverweed cinquefoil), 2346 nucleotides. RefSeq lists it as uncharacterized. NCBI's taxonomy places the organism in Eukaryota, Viridiplantae, Streptophyta, Magnoliopsida, Rosales, Rosaceae. The record is from RefSeq and is a predicted model, not a curated record. The transcript is spliced from 6 exons.
UUGCUGCAACGACAUCAGGGGAGAGAGUUCUUUUGCUUGCCGUGCCAAACCCUCCUGAUGCAAGGGAUUUGAGAGUUGCAAACUUGAGAUUCUUUUUACGUAGAAAUAUCAGCCCAAACUCAGGAGAGAAGGAAGAAACCGAUCUUCUCUUGGCUCCUCAUUCGAUCCGGCGAAACAGACUUUUCCCUGGGUUCUUGAAAGACUGACUUGAAAUUGUGGUCUGGGUUAAAUACGGGUAGAGUGACGGAGGGGGUUAUGGGCUCCCGUGUCUCAAUUGGCAGAUGCCACCGAAUCGAAGUGAGAUAGAUUAGAUGGGAUUCGGGGUUGAUGGAAGAAAGAAAGAAAAAGAGAGGGGUUUAAUUCUGAUUUGCAAUUUGGGUGAUGGAGAAUUUGAUUGAAAUUGCCAUGAAGAAAACAAAAAGGGAAUUUAAUUUAUCGGCCUUUGGGGAUAGAGAGAGGUACAUAGCAAUUAGAAAGAGUUAACUGGAUGACAGGAGGGAGGAAAAUCAUGAAGGAGACCUUAGACUUGGGUUCUGCUAACAGGAGGAGAUAAGAUGCAUGUAGUUAUGCAGAGAAGAUGAAGGAAAUAGGAAGAGCCUUUAGGAUUUGCAGCUGCUCUUGAGAAUUUGGGUUUAUCAAAGUUUGCAGUAGUCAGGUAACUUAAUUAUUGCUGCUGUCAUGUAUUUGCAAUCCAUUAUUUGCUCAAUAUAAUUAUUUUAAGGAUCGAAUUCGGAUAUAUUAUCAUUCAUGGAUCACUUUUGAUAGAUAUGCUGUGUGGAAACCGAACAUCGUCGAGAAAAAGAUUUUUUAAAUAGCAAAUAAAGGAUGAACAUCAAGAUGCACUGGGAAUUGAAAUGAUAUCUGACUAUGAAAAUACAUAAUAGCAGUGAAACUAUUACAGGUACACAACAUUACUUGAAAAACACAAUGAAGAUAUAUAAUGGAAAAUUGGUUUACUCUGUUUUCUACGGUGUAUGCACUACAUGUAGUUUAUUUCCUAAACAUUUGUAUUUUCAUUCAAUCCAUUACUUGAUGAUUUAUAUUACUUAUAUUAUAGCAAAGUAAAACUUAAAACACAAAACGCACUUCGGUAGGCGCGCGAAAGCGAAGCGCCCUUUACUGUUCACUCGUAGGCACUGUUCACUUGAUACAGUGGGAGGACUCGUUUACCCCUAAUGUUUGCUGACGUUAGAGACAUGAAAGAAGGUCAGUAUGAUCAUUGACGCACUACACGUGUUAGCUUUAGUUUGCUGCAAGGACAUCAGGGGAGAGAAUUCUUUUCUUUCCUUUUGCUUGCGGUGCAGAACCCAGGUUUGUGCCGAAACUCCAAGCUUCUUCACGAUGCAUGGGCAUUACGAGUGCAUGUGGAGUGGGUUUUCUUAGACGGUUUAGAGUUUAGACUCUCUCUCCCUCCCUCCCUCUCUCUCUCUCUCUCUCUCUCUCUCUCAAGCCUUCGAAAAUGAAGAAAAAAACGAUCAGACGAAAAUAUCUCUCUCUCUCAAGCCUUUGAAAAUGAAGAAAAAAACGAUCAGACGAAGAUAUUUUCGUGUACAUAGGAUUGGAUUAGUAAUUGAUUGGGUAAGUAGUUUGGGAUCUCUUUCUUUCCUUUUUAUUUGUUACUAAUUGAUUGGGUUUGGUUCUUGGUGAUCAAAGAUCAAUAUCAAGGACCAUUUCUGGAUUCAUUUCUCGGUUAGGUAUCUGAUUUUCUUUCUAUUUGGUACCUGCAGUUCUGACAUUGGUUUCUUUAGAUAGGGAAUUGCUUUACAUGAAAUUUCUAUCAGGAUCUUCCAAAUCAUUCCCGCAGGAGGUUCGGACCCUUUUUUUUUUCAGGUAGCUUAAGUUUGGUUUUUGAAUCGAUUUGCUUUGUUUUGCAGGUCAACUGACGGUUACAAGAUUAAUGGUAUAGUUAAGAUCCCAAUGGCUUUGUGCUGGCAAUAGUAAUGAGAAUGGCUUAUCAAUGAACUUGGAUGAUUCCGGUGAGAUAGAUACAGAAGAAGAAUGACAAUUGUGAUCAAGCCACAACAAGGAAGUACAACAAAAUGAGUUUUUUAGGUCUGAGCUCAUUAUCAUGUAGAGGAGGUAAGAGCAACGGUGAUAAGCUCAAUCUCUGUUGGAAACUCAUGGAGAAGUUUGAUCAAAAGGGUUUCUUGCUGGACUUCGUAUUGUUUCUUGCUGGACUUCGUAUUGGAUUUGGCUUAUUUUGUUUAAAUUUUGCUUUUUUAGUAACUAUGCUUCUUCAUUUGUAGUCUACUGUGUUUUUUAGGCUUUAUUUAUGUAAAAAAUGUAUUAUGACUGUAACUGUAAUUUAUGCAAUUUGACGUUAUUUAAGAUAAAUGUAUUAUUAUG